Molecule: ribosomal RNA, 1343 nt
Filed under: uncultured bacterium
Lineage: Bacteria
Description: 16S ribosomal RNA
Rfam family: Bacterial small subunit ribosomal RNA
Source: RNAcentral
GACGAACCCUGGCGGCGUGCUUAACACAUGCAAGUCGAACGGAAAGGCCCUGCUUUUGUGGGGUGCUCGAGUGGCGAACGGGUGAGUAACACGUGAGUAACCUGCCCUUGACUUUGGGAUAACUUCAGGAAACUGGGGCUAAUACCGGAUAGGAGCUCCUGCUGCAUGGUGGGGGUUGGAAAGUUUCGGCGGUUGGGGAUGGACUCGCGGCUUAUCAGCUUGUUGGUGGGGUAGUGGCUUACCAAGGCUUUGACGGGUAGCCGGCCUGAGAGGGUGACCGGCCACAUUGGGACUGAGAUACGGCCCAGACUCCUACGGGAGGCAGCAGUGGGGAAUAUUGCACAAUGGGCGGAAGCCUGAUGCAGCAACGCCGCGUGCGGGAUGACGGCCUUCGGGUUGUAAACCGCUUUCGCCUGUGACGAAGCGUGAGUGACGGUAAUGGGUAAAGAAGCACCGGCUAACUACGUGCCAGCAGCCGCGGUGAUACGUAGGGUGCGAGCGUUGUCCGGAUUUAUUGGGCGUAAAGGGCUCGUAGGUGGUUGAUCGCGUCGGAAGUGUAAUCUUGGGGCUUAACCCUGAGCGUGCUUUCGAUACGGGUUGACUUGAGGAAGGUAGGGGAGAAUGGAAUUCCUGGUGGAGCGGUGGAAUGCGCGGAUAUCAGGAGGAACACCAGUGGCGAAGGCGGUUCUCUGGGCCUUUCCUGACGCUGAGGAGCGAAAGCGUGGGGAGCGAACAGGCUUAGAUACCCUGGUAGUCCACGCUGUAAACGGUGGGUACUAGGUGUGGGGUCCAUUCCACGGGUUCCGUGCCGUAGCUAACGCUUUAAGUACCCCGCCUGGGGAGUACGGCCGCAAGGCUAAAACCCAAAGGAAUUGACGGGGCCCCGCACAAGCGGCGGAGCAUGCGGAUUAAUUCGAUGCAACGCGUAGAACCUUACCUGGGUUUGACAUGGAUCGGGAGUGCUCAGAGAUGGGUGUGCCUCUUUUGGGGUCGGUUCACAGGUGGUGCAUGGCUGUCGUCAGCUCGUGUCGUGAGAUGUUGGGUUAAGUCCCGCAACGAGCGCAACCCUUGUUCACUGUUGCCAGCACGUUAUGGUGGGGACUCAGUGGAGACCGCCGGGGUCAACUCGGAGGAAGGUGGGGAUGACGUCAAGUCAUCAUGCCCCCUAUGUCCAGGGCUUCACGCAUGCUACAAUGGCUGGUACAGAGAGUGGCGAGCCUGUGAGGGUGAGCGAAUCUCGGAAAGCCGGUCUCAGUUCGGAUUGGGGUCUGCAACUCGACCUCAUGAAGUCGGAGUCGCUAGUAAUCGCAGAUCAGCAACGCUGCGGUGAAUACGUUCCCGGG